This 446-nucleotide ribosomal RNA is filed under the name uncultured bacterium. RNAcentral describes it as "partial 16S ribosomal RNA". It matches the Rfam family "Bacterial small subunit ribosomal RNA", at positions 338 to 795 of the family's 1533-position model. The record is from RNAcentral.
CCUACGGGUGGCAGCAGUCGAGAAUCAUUCACAAUGGGGGAAACCCUGAUGGUGCGACGCCGCGUGGGGGAAUGAAGGUCUUCGGUUUGUAAACCCCUGUCAUGUGGGAGCAAAUUAAAAAGAUAGUACCACAAGAGGACGAGACUGCUAACUCUGUGCCAGCCGCCGCGGUAAUACAGAGGUCUCAAGCGUUCUUCGGAAUCACUGGGCGUAAAGCGUGCGUAGGCUGUGUCGUAAGUCGUGUGUGAAAGGCGCGGGCUCAACCCGCGGACGGCAGAUGAUACUGCGGGACUAGAGUAAUGGAGGGGGAGACGGAAUUCUCGGUGUAGCAGUGAAAUGCGUAGAUAGCGAGAGGAACACUCGUGGCGAAGGCGGGUUCCUGGACAUUAACUGACGCUGAGGCACGAAGGCCAGGGGAGCGAAAGGGAUUAGAUACCCGAGUAGUC